This 195-nucleotide ribosomal RNA is filed under the name uncultured bacterium. RNAcentral describes it as "partial 16S ribosomal RNA". It matches the Rfam family "Bacterial small subunit ribosomal RNA", at positions 338 to 524 of the family's 1533-position model. The record is from RNAcentral.
UUUACGGGAGGCAGCAGUGGGGAAUAUUGCGCAAUGGGGGAAACCCUGACGCAGCGACGCCGCGUGGGUGAUGAAGGCUUUCGGGUCGUAAAGCCCUGUCAAGAGGGAAGAACUGUCUGGGUGCUAAUAGUGCCUAGGCUUGACGGUACCUCUAAAGGAAGAUCCGGCUAACUCCGUGCCAGCAGCCGCGGUAAU